This 1096-nucleotide unclassified non-coding RNA is filed under the name Leishmania donovani. RNAcentral describes it as "gene:unknown". The record is from RNAcentral. Lineage: Eukaryota; Euglenozoa; Kinetoplastea; Trypanosomatida; Trypanosomatidae.
CACACACGAUACGAGUGCGAGGGGCAUAUCAGCAAAGGUGAAAACCAGCUCACCUACCUUGGAGUGCGCGCGUUUCGCUUACAUCUCUGAGCACAUUUCGCGCAUCGGUGUGGCGCGUAGCGACGAAAAGGCCUCUCGUCUAGCGCGCCGCCGUCGUGAUUCUACACAUCCAUGCUCCCUGCCUCCGUCCGUCUUGUGCCUCUGUCUAGAAAGCGAACGACGCUGUGGGGUCGGCCAUCAGAGGAAACCUGCGUUGCGCAUAGUUGCCCUCUCCUAUGUAAAGCACCCGUCCCUCCGGUUCCCCAUCAUCGUUGUUCUGUUUAUAUUCGUUUGUGUCUGUGCGCGUUACUUUCGUAUUCGCGUUUGCUUCAGAAACGUGCUGCAGGGCAGGAGGGAUGGACUGCGAAGAGUACCAGCCAGACGCGACUUAUCUCCCUCUCUGUUUUUUUUUUUGUUUUCUUAGCUUCUACACGUCCGUCACCUCCUCGGCGUCUCUCAUCCAUCGUCUUACGAGCGCGUUGAAGUUGCCUCGGUCUUUGUUGUGUGUCUUCUUCACCUCGUGUGUGUGUGUGCUCCGUCGCAUAGUGCGCUUCCGCUUCCUCCGCUCUCGCUCCCAGGUGGCAGUGUUGUUUCUGCGCCAGCGCUCUCUUGUAUGACAGGCAAUUCACUUUCCAAGACCAUAUCCGGACCCUCCUCUUCCCCCAUUCCCUGGAUUGCGCACGGUGAAAUGAGCGCGACAAGAGUCUGUGUGCACUCCCUCCCCCCCACACACACACGCUCGCCCGUUUUUUUAUCACGUGCGUCACUCUCUUGGACCACGUCUGCGGAAGGCAGUGUACACAUCCGCGCAUGUGCACAAACGCAUACAUAGAGAGAGAAAGGAGGGUUGGAUGAUACGAGGGCUUCCUCGGUGUGCAAAAGCGCCUCGCCGGCACGUCUAACGAUCCUCACUCCUUCGACGUCCCUAUCACACAAACUCUUUUCUCGCAACGGUGCCGAACUGAAAUUUUUACGGAACUGUACUGCAUAGGCAAUGUAACGCUAGUAGGACAACGACAGUCGAAGCGUGGAAAAGAUAGGACGGACACCCAAGAAG